Molecule: long non-coding RNA, 3507 nt
Organism: Anguilla rostrata (American eel)
Lineage: Eukaryota; Metazoa; Chordata; Actinopteri; Anguilliformes; Anguillidae
Exons: 4
Source: RefSeq, a predicted model, not a curated record
CCUUCUACUAUCAGCCUUGUGUGGUUCAUAAUGUAGCCUACUCAAAAAUUUCUACACGGGACAUCGAGAUUUAUGAAUGCCUUUACCAUGCAGGGCUUGUAAUUAGUCUACAACGUCACUGUGUGAGGCAGCGAUGACCAAGUGCACAUUCACUGGACCAAGCCAAGUUAUCACUUUGAUUCCGUACAUCGCCGGAGGAAUGCAACGGUGCCAACCGUCGGGCAACUGAACAAAAGCGGGACUUCUGUUACUGUGCGCUGGAACAGGGAAAGCUGCAUUGAAACGCAUACAAUCGCAUAACGAAAUGAUUUUUUUUGACGGCUUGGCACUCAAUAACUCGUUUAUUUGAACAAAGUUCACCACUUUCUCGAUUCCAGCAUGCUCAGACGAGAUAGUCUAGCAAGCAGACUUUAAUCUUUGCUGCUGUCGUCGUCAGUAAAACUAUUGGAGGGGAAAACUGAAGUAUUAUUUUUGAUCACAUAUUUUAAAAUGACAUCUUCUGUGACUGAAGCAAUUAUUGAAUCCUAUGCAUUGAUGUUUUUCGUAAUGUCAACAUUCUUUAUCUAUUUCUGCGCCAUGAUUUGGGCAUUUUGCAACCCAAAACUCAGUAGCGUGGAUGAAGAUUAUCAAAUGAAGGAAUUAAACGAAAAUCGUUCAAAAAUGUGCGAUGAGAUUCCCUUGGAUCAAUUCAAUAUGAUGCGCUCGGAAAAUCUGCAAAACUCAAGUGACUGGAGGGCAAACAUCACAGAAGAAGCCUGCUUGAAAUACUUCGACAGCCUUAUUAAACUACAACAGAAGGAAUGAAAUCUGGCUGUGGUGAUCUGAUCAAUCACUCUUCUAUUUGUGCAAAAUAUUAACACACGUUAUUUGCAUCUUAUUUUCUGUCUAAAACUGUAGAAAUUACUAAAACAAAUUCUUCGACAUCAUACCCAUGAUUAGUAAACCGUAACCUAAUCAACCUCAGUUUUAGAGUCAAACGCAUUUUCAUAAAAUACCUAUUACGCGGUCGUAACUGAGCUGCAAGCAACUUAUUUGGAGUACUAUAGUACAUCAUGUACUUUAUAAAAUGGAUGUGCACUUUCAAUGUCGUCGGUUGGUUGUGAACUUGUUCUUGUAUUUAUUUUAGUACGUAAUAAUAUUAAUCAAAUCAAGCAAUUUUAUUUGUAUAGCGUUUUUUCCACGAAGACUCUUAGCAGGGUAGCAGAAUUAGAUAAAACAGUUCUUACAUGUCAUCAAUGGCUACUAUGGUUUCACCUCUAUUCUGCGAGGAGCAACGAAAUAUGAGCCUUUUAAUGUGCGGAGAGUUGCGUAAUUUUAGGAGGAAAAUGUCCCCACGACCUUCUCGGUUUCUCGGGAAAUGUUAUUUAAAGUCCUUGUAUUGAUAGUUUGUAACCUGGCCCCGUAAGAGUUUUAUAAUUGGUGUUCUUCGGGCCCAUCAUUGCUGGCUUAUAAGCAACCCCCUGACAGAUUCACUGUGGCCUUUUUGAAAUUAAUGUAAUUUAGAAUAACCCUUAUCUCCUGUUAUUCUUCUUAAUAUUUCAGGGCACAGGAUCGCAACUAAUUUGGCAUUCGAUAUCCCCAUAAUGAAACUGACACCAAGUUUAGAAGCUCAUCAAUUUUUUAUAAACUUGGCAAGAACUGUGAAUUAAGUAGAGUCCCUAGGACAUUAGUCACAAUAAUUCGUUUGAUGAUAGUCAUUGAAGUACUGCCAAAUCCAAGGAGUUAAGCUACUCUACAGCAAGUGGAAUACAAAUCAUCCAAUGGCUAAACAUAUAAGAAGCUUUUUAGGUUGUGAAUAUUUAACUCAUGCACUGUAAGAUCUGUGGAAAGCGUCCUUUUCUCAUGCAAAACUGGAAUUCUAAGAUACAUCCGGAAGCUCCUCAUGUACAUUGUGCCUGCAUCAGAAUGGAGAGUGCAGGGAACACAACCUGGAGAGAUCCAAAUCCCGGAUACCUUACCGGGCCCAUUCCAAAAUGUGCUCGUGAUCAAACAGUAGCUUUAAAUUUCAAUAGAAAUCUACAAGCGGUUGGGGCUACAUGGGGCUGUCUUUCAAGCUUUUAUGCUACGGUUCCCGAGUGUCAGAGAUCAAGCUCAGAAACCAGCAAAGCAGCAGCCAGUGAACCCCGUUUUUAUCACUUACGUUCUGAGGGCUGGGACAGCAGGAUCCUGAUUCAGGCACACUGGGAGAGGUCAUUUCCAGGUCCCAGAGAUUCACACAAGUCAUUCUCUCAGCCAAAUGAAGAUAACUUGCCAAGCAGCACAUUUUACGCGCCUGAUCAUCAGUUGAGCCAACGGAUUUAUUGUCAUGAAGUAUCUCCAUACUGCACAAGUCAGAUGCAAAACCAUAACAAGUGUGAAAAUACGGAAUGCUCUGGCUUGCAUCAUUGCCAAGUGAAUGAGCGUCCUACUUUUGGCAAGAUACAGAAGGCCUCAGCUGGAUAUAGCACACCCCUACCCACAAUCCCAGGUAGCCAUCUUGUCAAGACAAAUGUUACCCAGAAUGCAUCAUCACACUCUCUCAGGAGACCUCAGUCUUCCCUGACGAAUGUGUUGCCUACUGGAUCAAGCUGUGAGAACUCAGUAGAGGCGGGACACAUAGCCCUGGCUACCCUAGUGAGGUUGCGGGCACUGCUGGCACAGUGCUGCCACUCUCUGAACUCCCUGUUUGAAGUUCACCAGGACGUCAUCUGCUGCCGCCACUACUAUGCCUCCGCUGUGGUAUGCUGGCUCUUCUGUAUUGUCAUCACCACCGUGGUGCUUAUUGCUGCUACUGCGUUUAGGUCACCCCACAAUGGAGACUGAAAAGCGGUGUCUAAUGGAAUAACUGUUGUGUUUGUGUUUCACUUUACCUUGUUGAGGUUUACAUUGUUGGAUUAUUAUGUGUUUGUUAAUGUAUUCUUUCACUACUUAAAAGGGGAUGAAUAAUCAAUGUAUACGUCAGCUUUUGUUAAUCAAGUUAAUCACAAGGAAAUUCAGUUUUCAUGUCACAAAUGAGCAGAGAUACUAUCAAUCUGCUUGCAUUGCAAAUUUCUCAUAGCCAGGAAAUAAUGAGGGGUCUUAACCUUUCAUUUAGCUGACAUUGGUCUUGUAACAGGAUCGGUUUAAUUAUUUGCUAUAAGUACGUGUAGAGUCUCAAAACUUUUAAGAAUGCAAUGGUCCUCUGUAAUAUACUAGUCAAUUUUUAAAUUGAAGUGUUCUGUGGUUGUGUGUAAAGAAGAGAAAUUCAAAUGGGCCAUAUGACUACUUAAUUAAUGUCAUAUUGCAUUCUGUGGACGCAAAUCUCUUUCAUCUUUGACUUUACUUUUUAUGUUGCUUUCAAGCUCCAGUUAUUUCUCACAAUGGGCUUCUGCCAUGUCUUUGACAAUAUCCAUCUGAAGCACAAACAAAAAGGAAGUCAAGUGUGAAAAGAUAUUUGAAAAAAGCAAUGUUGAUGGCAGCUGGGGUCUGAAUAAUGGACAUGUCAAAAAGAGUCACAUCCGAGAAUGAAAAAUAAAAAUAGAUCAAGCA